RNAcentral lists this ribosomal RNA (434 nucleotides) under uncultured bacterium. RNAcentral describes it as "bacterial SSU rRNA". It matches the Rfam family "Bacterial small subunit ribosomal RNA", at positions 29 to 497 of the family's 1533-position model. The record is from RNAcentral.
AACGAACGCUGGCGGCAUGCCUAACACAUGCAAGUCGAACGGGAUCCGGACUUCGGUUCGGUGAGAGUGGCGGACGGGUGAGUAACGCGUGGGAACCUGCCCAGUGGUGGGGGAUAACUGCGGGAAACUGCAGCUAAUACCGCAUGAGCCCGAGAGGGGAAAGAUUUAUCGCCAUUGGAGGGGCCCGCGUUCGAUUAGGUAGUUGGUGAGGUAACGGCUCACCAAGCCGACGAUCGAUAGCUGGUCUGAGAGGAUGAUCAGCCACACUGGGACUGAGAUACGGCCCAGACUCCUACGGGAGGCAGCAGUGGGGAAUAUUGGACAAUGGGGGCAACCCUGAUCCAGCAAUGCCGCGUGAGUGAUGAAGGCCUUCGGGUUGUAAAGCUCUUUGUCCAGGGACGAUGAUGACGGUACCUGGAGAAUAAGACCCCGGC